This 872-nucleotide small RNA is filed under the name Pan troglodytes (chimpanzee). Its description in RNAcentral is "retained intron". Lineage: Eukaryota; Metazoa; Chordata; Mammalia; Primates; Hominidae. The record is from RNAcentral.
GCAGGUUGCAACUUGUGUGCGACUUUUAGGUCGUAAUUCUAACUCCAAGAGGCUCUUGGGUUAUGUGGCAACUCUGAAGGAUAAUUUUGGAUUUAUUGAAACAGCCAAUCAUGAUAAGGAAAUCUUUUUCCAUUACAGUGAGUUCUCUGGUGAUGUUGAUAGCCUGGAACUGGGGGACAUGGUCGAGUAUAGCUUGUCCAAAGGCAAAGGCAACAAAGUCAGUGCAGAAAAAGUGAACAAAACACACUCAGUGAAUGGCAUUACUGAGGAAGCUGAUCCCACCAUUUACUCUGGCAAAGUAAUUCGCCCUCUGAGGAGUGUUGAUCCAACACAGACUGAGUACCAAGGAAUGAUUGAGAUUGUGGAGGAGGGCGAUAUGAAAGGUGAGGUCUAUCCAUUUGGCAUUGUUGGGAUGGCCAACAAAGGGGAUUGCCUGCAGAAAGGGGAGAGCGUCAAGUUCCAAUUGUGUGUCCUGGGCCAAAAUGCACAAACUAUGGCUUACAACAUCACACCCCUGCGCAGGGCCACAGUGGAAUGUGUGAAAGAUCAGGUAAGUUCCAGCAUCUCUGUAUCUGAAUUUGAUCCUUCUAUGAGUUGGUAACCAAAACCUUCAAAUAUUUUCAGCCAAGGGGAAAUCAUCAACAUUCAUUCGUUUUUUAUUUCUACUUCACCUUUUUUCAGUCAUUUGAGGUAGCUUAAUAAAAACAGAAAACUACACAAAAAGUGACUAUAUUAGCAAUGAGAAAGUAAGAUUGGUAUUAGUAACUAAUAUUACGCAAUGGGGAAAAUAAGUUAGAGGUGAGAUUUCCAGAAUAGAAGGACUAUAUGGUUUUGUACACUUUUGCUUAGAGCUGCUUUUGCAUAUCACACAA